GAAGAGGAAGGGCGAUGGAGCGGGGUGUGGGAUUAGGGUUUGGUUCGUGGGGAGUUGCUUCUCGAGGUCGAAGGUGGAUAGCUCGAUCAGCAGCCCGGUGCUUCAGUUUGUGGACAGUAAAUCAACAAACAAUGGUAGCAAGGAGCAACCUGUUGUUCCAGUAGUCUCUGGCUCUACAACCACUAGUAAUGCAGAAAGUACAAUAUCCACUCCCAAAGGGGGAGAGGAGUUUAAAAUUGCAUCUCAGCUGUACAAGUUCACUUUCAGUGAGCUGAAGUCGGCCACAAGGAAUUUCAGACCUGACAGU
RNAcentral lists this unclassified non-coding RNA (307 nucleotides) under Hevea brasiliensis (rubber tree). Lineage: Eukaryota; Viridiplantae; Streptophyta; Magnoliopsida; Malpighiales; Euphorbiaceae. The record is from RNAcentral.